Ribosomal RNA from Lepisosteus oculatus (spotted gar), 120 nucleotides. The record is from Ensembl. NCBI's taxonomy places the organism in Eukaryota, Metazoa, Chordata, Actinopteri, Semionotiformes, Lepisosteidae.
GCCAGCAGUCAUAUCACCCUGCAACUCACAACUGGCAACCCACUGAAGCUAAGCAGGUGUGAGCCUGGUCAGUACCUGGAUAAGGAGACCUCCUGGGAAAAUCUAAGGUUGCUGCUGGAA